Molecule: ribosomal RNA, 497 nt
Filed under: uncultured bacterium
Lineage: Bacteria
Description: partial 16S ribosomal RNA
Rfam family: Bacterial small subunit ribosomal RNA
Source: RNAcentral
GACGAACGCUGGCGGCGUGCCUAAUACAUGCAAGUAGAACGCUGAAGGAAGGAGCUUGCUCUUUCCGGAUGAGUUGCGAACGGGUGAGUAACGCGUAGGUAACCUGCCUGGUAGCGGGGGAUAACUAUUGGAAACGAUAGCUAAUACCGCAUAACAGUAGAUGUUGCAUGAUAUCUACUUAAAAGGUGCAAUUGCACCACUACCAGAUGGACCUGCGUUGUAUUAGCUAGUUGGUGAGGUAACGGCUCACCAAGGCGACGAUACAUAGCCGACCUGAGAGGGUGAUCGGCCACACUGGGACUGGGACACGGCCCAGACUCCUACGGGAGGCAGCAGUAGGGAAUCUUCGGCAAUGGACGGAAGUCUGACCGAGCAACGCCGCGUGAGUGAAGAAGGGUUUCGGAUCGUAAAGCUCUGUUGUAAGAGAAGAACGAGUGUGAGAGUGGAAAGUUCACACUGUGACGGUAUCUUACCAGAAAGGGACGGCUAACUACGUG